CCGAGUGGUAAAGCAAGGAGUUAUGGCGCUGCGAACUUUGUCGCACAACGACCAAACAAAAAAGCCAACACAUGCAAGGGGAAAGAACAUUAAGUGCUGAGUGCAAAACUAGUGGCGGACGGGUGAGUAACGCGUGGGCAACCUACCCAUAAGAGGGGGAUAACAGCUGGAAACGGCUGCUAAUACCGCAUAAGCUUAGCUGGACGCAUGUUUGGUUAAGUAAAGGAGGCUUAGGCUUCCGCUUAUGGAUGGGCCCGCGUCUGAUUAGCUAGUUGGUAGGGUAACGGCCUACCAAGGCGACGAUCAGUAGCCGGCCUGAGAGGGUGUACGGCCACACUGGGACUGAGACACGGCCCAGACUCCUACGGGAGGCAGCAGUGGGGAAUAUUGCGCAAUGGGGGAAACCCUGACGCAGCGACGCCGCGUGAGCGAAGAAGGCCUUCGGGUUGUAAAGCUCUGUUGUAAGGGACGAAGGAUUGGGGUAGUAACUGACCCCAAGGUGACGGUACCUUACGAGGAAGCCCCGGCUAACUACGUG
RNAcentral lists this ribosomal RNA (538 nucleotides) under uncultured bacterium. Its description in RNAcentral is "bacterial SSU rRNA". It matches the Rfam family "Bacterial small subunit ribosomal RNA", at positions 1 to 507 of the family's 1533-position model. The record is from RNAcentral.